This 1129-nucleotide ribosomal RNA is filed under the name Staphylococcus aureus M1169. Its description in RNAcentral is "bacterial SSU rRNA". It matches the Rfam family "Bacterial small subunit ribosomal RNA", at positions 8 to 1115 of the family's 1533-position model. Lineage: Bacteria; Bacillati; Bacillota; Bacilli; Caryophanales; Staphylococcaceae. The record is from RNAcentral.
AGAGUUUGAUCCUGGCUCAGGAUGAACGCUGGCGGCGUGCCUAAUACAUGCAAGUCGAGCGAACGGACGAGAAGCUUGCUUCUCUGAUGUUAGCGGCGGACGGGUGAGUAACACGUGGAUAACCUACCUAUAAGACUGGGAUAACUUCGGGAAACCGGAGCUAAUACCGGAUAAUAUUUUGAACCGCAUGGUUCAAAAGUGAAAGACGGUUUUGCUGUCACUUAUAGAUGGAUCCGCGCUGCAUUAGCUAGUUGGUAAGGUAACGGCUUACCAAGGCAACGAUGCAUAGCCGACCUGAGAGGGUGAUCGGCCACACUGGAACUGAGACACGGUCCAGACUCCUACGGGAGGCAGCAGUAGGGAAUCUUCCGCAAUGGGCGAAAGCCUGACGGAGCAACGCCGCGUGAGUGAUGAAGGUCUUCGGAUCGUAAAACUCUGUUAUUAGGGAAGAACAUAUGUGUAAGUAACUGUGCACAUCUUGACGGUACCUAAUCAGAAAGCCACGGCUAACUACGUGCCAGCAGCCGCGGUAAUACGUAGGUGGCAAGCGUUAUCCGGAAUUAUUGGGCGUAAAGCGCGCGUAGGCGGUUUUUUAAGUCUGAUGUGAAAGCCCACGGCUCAACCGUGGAGGGUCAUUGGAAACUGGAAAACUUGAGUGCAGAAGAGGAAAGUGGAAUUCCAUGUGUAGCGGUGAAAUGCGCAGAGAUAUGGAGGAACACCAGUGGCGAAGGCGACUUUCUGGUCUGUAACUGACGCUGAUGUGCGAAAGCGUGGGGAUCAAACAGGAUUAGAUACCCUGGUAGUCCACGCCGUAAACGAUGAGUGCUAAGUGUUAGGGGGUUUCCGCCCCUUAGUGCUGCAGCUAACGCAUUAAGCACUCCGCCUGGGGAGUACGACCGCAAGGUUGAAACUCAAAGGAAUUGACGGGGACCCGCACAAGCGGUGGAGCAUGUGGUUUAAUUCGAAGCAACGCGAAGAACCUUACCAAAUCUUGACAUCCUUUGACAACUCUAGAGAUAGAGCCUUCCCCUUCGGGGGGACAAAGUGACAGGUGGUGCAUGGUUGUCGUCAGCUCGUGUCGUGAGAUGUUGGGUUAAGUCCCGCAACGAGCGCAACCCUUAAGCUUAGU